GUUGAGAUGAGUCAGGGAGAGCUAGGGUUGGGGCAGUCUUUAAAGUUGUCUUCAAGGAACGGAAAGAGGAGUGAGGAAAGGAUUUAGGAUCUAUGGGGUCAGCUAGGUUUCUUUUUGUGAGUUUAUAUAAUGGUUUUGUUAGGAUGGCAAAACCAGGUAUCUAAAGUCGAAAGUAUCUAACCAUGCCUAGGAAGGAAAGGAGUUGUUGUUUUGUAGAAGGUGCUGGGGUUUGAGAGAUCAGUCAGACACGAUCGGCAGGGAGAGCACGUGUGUUUUUAGGAGAAUUAUGCCGAGAUAGGUAACAGAUGAGGAAGAAAUUUGGGCUUGACUGAUGUAUUGGGGGCUGUCUGUGAAGCUUUGAGGCAGUACGGCCCAGGACAGGUGAAAUGGGUGAAUUGUAAGGAGAGUUUAUAGCUUUUAAAAGGUCAUGCUGUAGCAGGUGAGUGAUAACAGGCUUUAAUCCUUUUAAAGCGUGCUGUGGGAUGGGAUAAAGUGCAGUAAGGGUGAUUAGGUUUUAAAGAGAUGGUAACGGGUGCAUGAUCGGUUGCCAAGGAGGGAGUAGA
RNAcentral lists this long non-coding RNA (563 nucleotides) under Homo sapiens (human). Its description in RNAcentral is "HSALNT0214250". The record is from RNAcentral. Lineage: Eukaryota; Metazoa; Chordata; Mammalia; Primates; Hominidae.